GUCACAGCCACGGCGCUGUUCGUUCAUGUUCUGACCUAACUCAAAAUGGAAGUUAAUACGAAUACCUCGUAGUGGUCAGAAGAUUGGACCAAGAUGGAGAUGGAGCUUCGUUUGCGUGCAGAAUUCGUGAAUGAAGCUUUGUGAUCUCUGCUGCUUUGGUACAUCAGCCACAGUCCACUCCACGUGAAGGACAACAGGAGGAGCCACAUCAGCCUGCUGGCAGCUCCGGACUAGGUCCUAUCCUCAGCUACGCAGUCAAUGGCUGUCAUGGUGUCAUGGUCUCACCUGUAGAGUGCGUGAGCGAAGAAGGCUGCAGAGCAGUUGCCCACGCUUGGCCAGCAGUUUACCCAG
Molecule: long non-coding RNA, 351 nt
Organism: Engraulis encrasicolus (European anchovy)
Lineage: Eukaryota; Metazoa; Chordata; Actinopteri; Clupeiformes; Engraulidae
Exons: 3
Source: RefSeq, a predicted model, not a curated record